Molecule: ribosomal RNA, 253 nt
Filed under: uncultured bacterium
Lineage: Bacteria
Description: partial 16S ribosomal RNA
Rfam family: Bacterial small subunit ribosomal RNA
Source: RNAcentral
UACGGGGGGGGCAAGCGUUGUUCGGAAUUACUGGGCGUAAAGGGCUCGUAGGCGGCCAACUAAGUCGGACGUGAAAUCCCUCGGCUUAACCGGGGAACUGCGUCCGAUACUGGAUGGCUUGAGUUUGGGAGAGGGAUGCGGAAUUCCAGGUGUAGCGGUGAAAUGCGUAGAUAUCUGGAGGAACACCGGUGGCGAAGGCGGCCAGCUGGGCCAGAUCCGACACUGAGGCGCGAAAGCGUGGGGAGCAAACAGG